GACAGAGGGUGCAAACGUUGUUCGGAUUUACUGGGCGUAAAGCGCGUGUAGGCGGCUAAGUAAGUCGGGCGUGAAAUCCCACGGCUCAACCGUGGAAGUGCACUCGAAACUGCAUAGCUAGAGUCCUGGAGAGGAAGGUGGAAUGCUUGGUGUAGAGGUGAAAUUCGUAGAUAUCAAGCGGAACACCGGUGGCGAAGGCGGCCUUCUGGACAGUGACUGACGCUGAGACGCGAAAGCGUGGGGAGCAAACAGG
Molecule: ribosomal RNA, 253 nt
Filed under: uncultured bacterium
Lineage: Bacteria
Description: partial 16S ribosomal RNA
Rfam family: Bacterial small subunit ribosomal RNA
Source: RNAcentral